RNAcentral lists this small RNA (280 nucleotides) under marine eukaryotic metagenome. RNAcentral describes it as "5' ureB small RNA". It matches the Rfam family "5' ureB small RNA". The record is from RNAcentral.
CGAUCUGCUGUGGGCAGAUAUAGUGAAUGUGGCUGUCAAACCCGCCAGCGGUCAGGACAUGGCCUUCACCGGCGAUGGCCUCGGUUCCCGGCCCAAUGAUGAUAUCCACAUCCGGUUGCGUGUCCGGAUUGCCGGCCUUGCCGAUGCCGGCAAUCACGCCGUCUUUCAGGCCGAUAUCAGCCUUGAAGAUGCCGCUGACAUCGACGACAAGCGCGUUGGUGAUGACCGUAUCAACGGCCCCUUCGGCACGGGGUGUCUGCGACUGGCCCAUACCAUCGCG